UACGUAGGGGGCAAGCGUUAUCCGGAUUUACUGGGUGUAAAGGGAGCGUAGGUGGCAUGGCAAGCCAGAAGUGAAAACCCGGGGCUUAACCCCGCGGAUUGCUUUUGAAACUGUAGUUCUUGAGUGAUGGAGAGGCAGGCGGAAUUCCGUGUGUAGCGGUGAAAUGCGUAGAUAUACGGAGGAACACCAGUGGCGAAGGCGGCCUGCUGGACAUUAACUGACGCUGAGGCGCGAAAGCGUGGGGAGCAAACAGG
Molecule: ribosomal RNA, 254 nt
Filed under: uncultured bacterium
Lineage: Bacteria
Description: partial 16S ribosomal RNA
Rfam family: Bacterial small subunit ribosomal RNA
Source: RNAcentral